AGAGUUUGAUCCUGGCUCAGGACGAACGCUGGCGGCGUGCCUAAUACAUGCAAGUAGAACGCUGAAGAGAGGAGCUUGCUCUUCUUGGAUGAGUUGCGAACGGGUGAGUAACGCGUAGGUAACCUGCCUUGUAGCGGGGGAUAACUAUUGGAAACGAUAGCUAAUACCGCAUAACAAUGGAUGACCCAUGUCAUUUAUUUGAAAGGGGCAAAUGCUCCACUACAAGAUGGACCUGCGUUGUAUUAGCUAGUAGGUGAGGUAACGGCUCACCUAGGCGACGAUACAUAGCCGACCUGAGAGGGUGAUCGGCCACACUGGGACUGAGACACAGCCCAGACUCCUACGGGAGGCAGCAGUAGGGAAUCUUCGGCAAUGGGGGCAACCCUGACCGAGCAACGCCGCGUGAGUGAAGAAGGUUUUCGGAUCGUAAAGCUCUGUUGUAAGUCAAGAACGAGUGUGAGAGUGGAAAGUUCACACUGUGACGGUAGCUUACCAGAAAGGGACGGCUAACUACGUGCCAGCAGCCGCGGUAAUACGUAGGUCCCGAGCGUUGUCCGGAUUUAUUGGGCGUAAAGCGAGCGCAGGCGGUUUGAUAAGUCUGAAGUUAAAGGCUGUGGCUCAACCAUAGUUCGCUUUGGAAACUGUCAAACUUGAGUGCAGAAGGGGAGAGUGGAAUUCCAUGUGUAGCGGUGAAAUGCGUAGAUAUAUGGAGGAACACCGGUGGCGAAAGCGGCUCUCUGGUCUGUAACUGACGCUGAGGCUCGAAAGCGUGGGGAGCGAACAGGACUAGAUACCCUGGUAGUCCACGCCGUAAACGAUGAGUGCUAGGUGUUGGAUCCUUUCCGGGAUUCAGUGCCGCAGCUAACGCAUUAAGCACUCCGCCUGGGGAGUACGACCGCAAGGUUGAAACUCAAAGGAAUUGACGGGGGCCCGCACAAGCGGUGGAGCAUGUGGUUUAAUUCGAAGCAACGCGAAGAACCUUACCAGGUCUUGACAUCCCGAUGCUAUUUCUAGAGAUAGAAAGUUACUUCGGUACAUCGGUGACAGGUGGUGCAUGGUUGUCGUCAGCUCGUGUCGUGAGAUGUUGGGUUAAGUCCCGCAACGAGCGCAACCCCUAUUGUUAGUUGCCAUCAUUCAGUUGGGCACUCUAGCGAGACUGCCGGUAAUAAACCGGAGGAAGGUGGGGAUGACGUCAAAUCAUCAUGCCCCUUAUGACCUGGGCUACACACGUGCUACAAUGGUUGGUACAACGAGUUGCGAGUCGGUGACGGCAAGCUAAUCUCUUAAAGCCAAUCUCAGUUCGGAUUGUAGGCUGCAACUCGCCUACAUGAAGUCGGAAUCGCUAGUAAUCGCGGAUCAGCACGCCGCGGUGAAUACGUUCCCGGGCCUUGUACACACCGCCCGUCACACCACGAGAGUUUGUAACACCCGAAGUCGGUGAGGUAACCUUUUGGAGCCAGCCGCCUAAGGUGGGAUAGAUGAUUGGGGUGAAGUCGUAACAAGGUA
Molecule: ribosomal RNA, 1506 nt
Filed under: metagenome
Description: bacterial SSU rRNA
Rfam family: Bacterial small subunit ribosomal RNA
Source: RNAcentral